UACGUAGGGGGCAAGCGUUGUCCGGAUUUAUUGGGCGUAAAGAGCGUGUAGGCGGCCGUACAGGUCAGCUGUGAAAACUCGAGGCUCAACCUCGAGACGUCGGUUGAAACCGUACGGCUAGAGUCCGGAAGAGGAGAGUGGAAUUCCCGGUGUAGCGGUGAAAUGCGCAGAUAUCGGGAAGAACACCCGUGGCGAAGGCGGCUCACUGGACCGGAACUGACGCUGAGGCGCGAAAGCGUGGGGAGCAAACGGG
RNAcentral lists this ribosomal RNA (253 nucleotides) under uncultured bacterium. RNAcentral describes it as "partial 16S ribosomal RNA". It matches the Rfam family "Bacterial small subunit ribosomal RNA", at positions 524 to 776 of the family's 1533-position model. The record is from RNAcentral.